RNAcentral lists this ribosomal RNA (507 nucleotides) under uncultured bacterium. RNAcentral's name for it is "bacterial SSU rRNA". It matches the Rfam family "Archaeal small subunit ribosomal RNA", at positions 725 to 1230 of the family's 1478-position model. The record is from RNAcentral.
AGUCAAUAGAUACCCUGGUAGUCCCAGCUGUAAACGAUGCGCGUUAGGUGUAUCGGUGACCACGAGUCACCGAGGUGCCGAAGGGAAACCGUGAAACGUGCCGCCUGGGAAGUACGGUCGCAAGGCUGAAACUUAAAGGAAUUGGCGGGGGAGCACCACAACAGGUGGAGCCUGCGGUUUAAUCGGACUCAACGCCGGGAAGCUCACCGGAUAAGACAGCUGAAUGAUAGCCGGGUUGAAGACUCUGCUUGACUAGCUGAGAGGAGGUGCAUGGCCGUCGUCAGUUCGUACUGUGAAGCAUCCUGUUAAGUCAGGCAACGAGCGAGACCCACGCCAACAGUUGCCAGCAUGUCCUCCGGGAUGGUGGGGACACUGUUGGGACCGCCUCUGCUAAAGAGGAGGAAGGAAUGGGCAACGGUAGGUCAGCAUGCCCCGAAUUAUCCGGGCUACACGCGGGCUACAAUGGUCAGGACAAUGGGUAUCAACACCGAAAGGUGAAGGCAAUCU